AUGCCUUGCAGGGAGCUCAUUCAUGCGUUUGUUUCUCAAGUGCUGCAAUGCAUGAUUGCAAAAAGGGUUAGGAGUAUUCAAACAAGAGCCAUGCUUGGGCAUCCUCACCGAUCCCCCAUGUUCUACAUCUUCUUCCCAUGGAUCUUAUUCUCUUGCCUUAUCCCUCCUUUAAGCUACGCUUGCAACAUACCUGAUCGGAACUCUCUCUUGUCCAUCUCCCUCAGCUUCACUCCUCCUCUAAAUUGGCCUUGUAAUGUCAAUUGCUGCCUCUGGGAAGGGAUUGCAUGCGAUCAUAACGGUUGGGUCACCCAUGUUUGGCUCCCCUCUAGAGGCCUCAGCGGUGGCAUCCCUCCAUCUUUAAGAAACCUUACACAACUUUCUCACCUUAAUCUUUCCCACAAUACCCUUACUGGACCACUUCCAGAUGAUUUCUUUUCAUCAUUAAAUCACCUCAAGAUCCUUGAUCUCAGCUUCAACAGGCUGCAAUGAGAAUUACCGUCGCUUCUUACAUCAAAUGGCUCACCCAUCUCCCUCCAAAUGUUGAAUUUGUCCAGCAAUUACUUUCAAGGGUCAUUAUUCCAAUCUCCAUUUCUUCAGAGAGCAUGGAAUUUGUCAAGUCUUAAUGUUAGCAACAACGGCUUCGUUGGCCGUAUCCCUUCCUCUAUUUGUAACAAUUCCAGCCUUGUUAGGCUCUUGGAUUUCUCUUACAAUCAUUUCAGUGGCCAAAUCCCUCAUGAACUAGGGAAAUGCUCCAAGCUUGAGGUUUUUCGUGCAGGUUUCAACUCGUUAGUUGGACUGCUUCCAGCUGACAUUUAUCACAUGUCAGCAUUGCGAGAAAUUAGUUUACCUUCCAAUCAUCUCUCGGGACCGAUUGGCAGCGACAUCGUUCAGCUCGUUAACCUCACCAUCAUUGAGCUCAACAACAAUGAACUGAAUGGCAUGCUCCCUCAAAAUAUCGGGAAGCUUUCUAACUUGGAACACCUGAUCCUCCAAAUGAACAAUUUAAGCGGUACAAUUCCUGCUUCCUUGUUGAAUUGCACCAAUUUGAAAAGACUGAGUUUGCUGUCCAACAAGUUAGGAGGUGAUAUCUCCACUUUUAAUUUCUCCAAGCUUUCCAAACUUGUCAUUGUUGACCUUGGCUUUAAUCACUUCAUAGGUCAAUUGCCAGUAAGCCUUUACGCAUGCAAGUCCCUGAAAACAAUUAGACUUGCCUUUAACAUGCUAGAAGGACAGAUCACACCUGAAAUUCUUGCUUUGCAAUCUCUUUCACUCCUUUCCCUUUCUGGAAUUAAGUUAACCAACAUCUCAGGGGCAAUCAAAAUUCUAAUGGGUCUGCACAACCUUAGGGUCCUCUCGCUUGCCAAAUGCUUUGUAAAUGAGAUAAUGCCAGAUGAUAACAGCUUGGUUGAUUCAGUUGGAUUUCAAAAUCUUCAAUAUUUGAGUAUAGGCUUCUGCCAACUCGUUGGACCAGUGCCAACAUGGUUGUCAAAGCUUAGAAAACUAGAGAUUCUCAUACUAAAGAGGAACCAAAUUAGAGGUCCAAUUCCUAGUUUCUUAGGGGCUUUGCCCAGACUCUUCCACAUUGACUUGUCAAGAAAUUUCAUUUCUGGAGAAUUUCCACUGGAACUUACUAGACUGCCUGCAUUAACAACUAAGCAGGCUUCUGAACAACUUGAUCAAAUUUCUCUCGAUGUGCCUCUGAUUUUUGGCAUCAAAUCACCUUCACAAAGUGGUAUUAGACAAUACAAUAAAAUCUCAAACAUGGGAAAAGUAAUUGAUGUGAGUAACAACAGCUUGAGUGGCAAUAUUCCUAUUGAGAUUGGUCAAUUGAAGUUUCUUCAAUACUUGAAUCUCUCUCAAAACAACUUCUCUGGCAACAUUCCACAUCAACUAUCCGACCUUUAUAACUUAGAACAACUAGACCUCUCCAAAAACAAUCUUUCUGGUGAGAUUCCACAAUCGUUAAAAGGUCUCAAUUUUUUGUCCAUGUUUAAGGUCUCAUACAACAAUCUUCAAGGAGCAAUACCAUUGGGCACUCAACUUCAAAGCUUUAAUGCUUCUGCAUACGAGGGGAAUCCUAAACUUUGUGGUCCCCCACUACCAUACCAAUGCCAAGUUGUCGGUGUCGAAGAAGAUGGGAGCAUUCAAGAUGAGGAAGAUGGGCAUGAAAUUCCAUGGUUUUAUGUGAGUAUGACGCUCGGAUUCAUCACAGGGUUUUGGGCAAUUUGCGGUAGUUUAUUCUUGAAACCUUCUUGGAGGUAUGCCUAUUUCCAAUUUUUGAUAAAUACAAAAGAUCGAUUUUGUGCGACGCUAGCUGUUUGCAAGGCUAGAGUUUGGAGCAUGAUUCAAACUUAAGUGGUAAUAGUCCCUUUUUUUUUUUUGGCCUCCCUCUCUUCCUAUUUUGUAUUUUCUUAAGUGGUAAUAGUCCUUGGUUCUAUGUGAGUAUGGCACUUGGAUUCAUCACAGGGUUUUGGGCAAUCUGUGGCACUUUGUUCUUGAAUCCUUCUUGGAGAAAUGCCUACUUCCAAUUUUUGACAGAUACAAAAAACUGAUUUUGUGUGACACUAGCUGCUUGCAAGGUUAGAGUUUGGAGCAGGAUUCAAACUUAAGCGAAUACUAGUUUGGUACGUGAUGAAACAAAAGACGCAUACCCAGCUAUAAAGGCAACAAGUUGAUCUCUACCCACCAUGAGGAUCAAGUAGCCCUAUUACUAGAGUGCAACAACAAAGUGCUAGAGGACAAAGGGACCAGCAUAUCAAGAUUAAUUAAAGAGCCUUUAUUUUUUGUCUUUCUUUUAAUAAGCAAAUUAAAUAAAGAUGAAAUUUUUAAAACAAUUCUCUUUGGUUUUUUGGUUCAAAAUUAGGUCAAAUUUUGUACGUAGAACAAAUUGUGGUAUUGUACGAGGUAUUUUUGCUUUUCUCUCGUUUCUUUCUUUGUUCAUGGUUCGAUAUUCUAGUGUCCUCUCCUUCAAGGACUUGAGAAUGAAGACUGAAAUUAUGUUUCA
Molecule: RNA transcript, 3004 nt
Organism: Malania oleifera
Lineage: Eukaryota; Viridiplantae; Streptophyta; Magnoliopsida; Santalales; Ximeniaceae
Gene name: receptor-like protein 3
Exons: 3
Source: RefSeq, a predicted model, not a curated record